RNAcentral lists this ribosomal RNA (420 nucleotides) under bacterium. RNAcentral's name for it is "partial 16S ribosomal RNA". It matches the Rfam family "Bacterial small subunit ribosomal RNA", at positions 355 to 776 of the family's 1533-position model. The record is from RNAcentral.
UGGGGGAUAUUGCACAAUGGGCGAAAGCCUGAUGCAGCGACGCCGCGUGGGGGAUGAAGGCUUUCGGGUUGUAAACCUCUUUCGCUAUCGAACAAGGCCCGCUUAGGGUGGGUUGAGGGUAGGUGGAGAAGAAGCGCCGGCUAACUACGUGCCAGCAGCCGCGGUAAUACGUAGGGCGCGAGCGUUGUCCGGAAUUAUUGGGCGUAAAGGGCUUGUAGGCGGCUUGUUGCGCCUGCUGUGAAAACGCGGGGCUUAACUUCGCGCGUGCAGUGGGUACGGGCAGGCUUGAGUGUGGUAGGGGUGACUGGAAUUCCAGGUGUAGCGGUGGAAUGCGCAGAUAUCUGGAGGACCACCGAUGGCGAAGGCAGGUCACUGGGCCAUUACUGACGCUGAGGAGCGAAAGCAUGGGUAGCGAACAGG